Molecule: ribosomal RNA, 442 nt
Filed under: uncultured bacterium
Lineage: Bacteria
Description: partial 16S ribosomal RNA
Rfam family: Bacterial small subunit ribosomal RNA
Source: RNAcentral
CCUACGGGAGGCUGCAGUGGGGAAUAUUGGGCAAUGGACGCAAGUCUGACCCAGCAACGCCGCGUGAAGGAAGAAGGCUUUCGGGUUGUAAACUUCUUUUAAGGGGGAAGAGCAGAAGACGGUACCCCUUGAAUAAGCCACGGCUAACUACGUGCCAGCAGCCGCGGUAAUACGUAGGUGGCAAGCGUUGUCCGGAUUUACUGGGUGUAAAGGGCGUGGAGCCGGAGGGGCAAGUCAGAUGUGAAAUCCGCGGGCUCAACUCGCGAACUGCAUUUGAAACUGCUUCCCUUGAGUAUCGGAGAGGUAAUCGGAAUUCCUAGUGUAGCGGUGAAAUGCGUAGAGAUCAUACAGAACACCGAUUGCGAAGGCAGCUUACCAAGCUACUUCUGACGUUGAGGCACGAAAGCGUGGGGAGCAAACAGGAUUAGAUACCCCAGUAGUC